AUUCCUACGGGAGGCAGCAGUGGGGAAUAUUGGACAAUGGGCGCAAGCCUGAUCCAGCCAUGCCGCGUGAGUGAUGAAGGCCUUAGGGUUGUAAAGCUCUUUUACCAGGGAUGAUAAUGACAGUACCUGGAGAAUAAGCUCCGGCUAACUCCGUGCCAGCAGCCGCGGUAAUAAU
RNAcentral lists this ribosomal RNA (175 nucleotides) under uncultured Alphaproteobacteria bacterium. RNAcentral describes it as "partial 16S ribosomal RNA". It matches the Rfam family "Bacterial small subunit ribosomal RNA", at positions 335 to 526 of the family's 1533-position model. Lineage: Bacteria; Pseudomonadati; Pseudomonadota; Alphaproteobacteria. The record is from RNAcentral.